RNAcentral lists this ribosomal RNA (452 nucleotides) under uncultured bacterium. Its description in RNAcentral is "bacterial SSU rRNA". It matches the Rfam family "Bacterial small subunit ribosomal RNA", at positions 39 to 524 of the family's 1533-position model. The record is from RNAcentral.
UUCGGNAGGCUUAACACAUGCAAGUCGGAGGAGAAGCAAGGCUUCGGUUUUGUGGACACUGGCGCACGGGUGAGUAACGCGUGGGAACCUACCUAUCAGUACGGAACAACUCAGGGAAACUUGUGCUAAUACCGUAUACGUCCUUCGGGAGAAAGAUUUAUCGCUGAUAGAUGGGCCCGCGUUAGAUUAGCUAGUUGGUGAGGUAACGGCUCACCAAGGCGACGAUCUAUAGCUGGUCUGAGAGGAUGAUCAGCCACACUGGGACUGAGACACGGCCCAGACUCCUACGGGAGGCAGCAGUGGGGAAUAUUGGACAAUGGGCGAAAGCCUGAUCCAGCCAUGCCGCGUGAGUGAUGAAGGCCCUAGGGUUGUAAAGCUCUUUCAACGGUGAAGAUAAUGACGGUAGCCGUAGAAGAAGCCCCGGCUAACUUCGUGCCAGCAGCCGCGGUAAU